This 392-nucleotide ribosomal RNA is filed under the name uncultured bacterium. RNAcentral's name for it is "bacterial SSU rRNA". It matches the Rfam family "Bacterial small subunit ribosomal RNA", at positions 30 to 417 of the family's 1533-position model. The record is from RNAcentral.
AUUGAACGCUGGCGGCAUGCCUUACACAUGCAAGUCGAACGGCAGCAUGGAGGAGCUUGCUCCUCUGAUGGCGAGUGGCGAACGGGUGAGUAAAGCAUCGGAACGUACCGUGUAGUGGGGAUAACGUAGCGAAAGUUACGCUAAUACCGCAUACGCACUGAGGUGGAAAGCAGGGGAUCGCAAGACCUUGCGCUAUACGAGCGGCCGAUGUCAGAUUAGCUAGUUGGUAGGGUAAAGGCCUACCAAGGCGACGAUCUGUAGCGGGUCUGAGAGGAUGAUCCGCCACACUGGGACUGAGACACGGCCCAGACUCCUACGGGAGGCAGCAGUGGGGAAUUUUGGACAAUGGGGGAAACCCUGAUCCAGCCAUGCCGCGUGAGUGAAGAAGGCCU